CGUUGAAACUAUAAAUUUGUAAAGCGGCACGAAGCAGUCAUAAGUUUUCAAUAACUGCUGAAGUGAGCGCGGGAUGUCUUCAGCAUUCUUAUAAAUAUACAAGAGGCAGUCUAUCAAUGUAAAUCUUUGAAGAUUAUAUUGGGGACAGUCAAAGAAAAUGUGAUCAAGAGUUUGGAUGGAUAAAUUACAGAAUUGACAAGUUGGAGAAUCUAAAACACCGAUCCUAAAUAAAUGAGGACCACUACGAGAAUGUCCCAGACGUAACCGACAAAUUGUGGUGUAAAAUUUUCUGUGGACAUUUAAGGAUAGAAGAAUGAAUCAUAAUUGUUCUAAAUCAACAUUAUUAAUUGCUCCUACAACAUCCAAAAAAACACCAGCCAAUAUCUUAUUGUCAAUCUGGGCACUAUGGAUGUCAAGACAUAAAUGCCGUAUACUCUCACAAGCAGAACGACCACAUCGAAAUCCAAAUUGAUUAUUAGAUUGCUGUGUGGAGGAAUGUUGGAUGGAAUUGAAGAAGAUUCAGUUUCCGACACUACCAUGGAAAAUUUUGUGAUUGUAGGCAAGUGAUAGCUGCCCAAAGAGUCCUGAUGAACUUGCCAUUCACAGCACAGGAAUAAUGAAGAUGAUACUAUUGUUAGAUCUAGUCCAUUAGGUCUCCAAGAAUUAGUACCCACUGUAGUUGGUUGAUCAUUAUUUAAGAGCAUUAAGUCAUUAUCGUCCAUUACAUCCAUGAUGUCUCUACCUCUAGAAUUGGUUCUAUUACAACCCCAAAUGGUAUGGUGAGCUUUAAAAUCACCAGCAAUUAUUAGUGGUUUUGGAAUACUAUGCAACAGUCUAUUAAAUUUAGAUUUGUCAAAGUUAGGUACACUGUUGCCAGGACUAUAAAAGCUAACAAUUGAGAUGUCUUUUUGUUUGUAUUUAAUUUUGAUUGCUACAUUUUGCAAGGAAUUAUCAGAAAAUGUUUCUAACUUUUGAAAAUAAAUGCCAUUUCUAACAAAAAUUGUGAUCAUUACCACAAUCAUUUCUUAGUAUUGUAUAACCUCUGAUAGAAAACUGUAUAUUUGGUUUAAGCCAAGUUUCUGAUAUAAGUGCUAUGUGUAUAUCCUGCUCAUAAAGUAGGUUUUGAAGCUCAAGUCUGUUACUCAACAGACUUUGAGCAUUCCACUGUACUAUGUUAAGUUUGUGACAGUUGAAUGUGAUGUUUUAUUUUUAAUUUGUAUGGUAUCUUUAAUAGCUGAACUAAUUGCUUUGAUUCUGUGUUUUAUUUAAGUAAUGACUUUUAUUAUUGAUUCUGUGAUUAGGUUCAAAGCUGCUGGAUUGGAUAAAAUUAAAUUAAUGAUGUCUUGUGUGUUCUCUGUCCUAUUGAGUGAUAGAAAGUUUGUUGGAUGUUUAAAUAAAUCUGAUAAUGGUGUUUUA
Long non-coding RNA from Leptidea sinapis, 1416 nucleotides. RefSeq lists it as uncharacterized. Lineage: Eukaryota; Metazoa; Arthropoda; Insecta; Lepidoptera; Pieridae. The record is from RefSeq and is a predicted model, not a curated record. The transcript has 3 exons.